RNAcentral lists this long non-coding RNA (1757 nucleotides) under Equus asinus (donkey). RNAcentral describes it as "lncRNA (ENSEASG00005035724.1)". The record is from RNAcentral. Lineage: Eukaryota; Metazoa; Chordata; Mammalia; Perissodactyla; Equidae.
AGGUCCCGUGGUUCCCGUCUCCCUGAGCCCGCGUCCUGCCGGCCUGCAGUGGGGAUGUUCGAGCUUGUGUUCACUUUUUUACCAGCCCUGUGUUCUGCUCUGCCUACCCACAUCCGGGAGGGAAUGGACAGGCAGAGGAUGAGCCCCACCCAGGGCCUGCUGGACUUGUCUGGACCUGGCAUCCCCUGGCCCAUGGGCAGUGCAGAGGACCUGGCUCGGUACAGCGUCCUCCAGGUGCCCCAGCUAUACCUGUGCCUCUGGUCUUCUCAGCUGCCUGAUGGUUCUCGGCCUCCCUCUCUGUUCUUUUCCUCACAGCAAAUAGCGUCAUGUGCUGCACACCUGGGCUGAUUCUUGUUCUGUUCCCUCAGCUCCGUGUACCUCUGGCUGCAAGGGAAUGGGGCCUACCCGCCUGAGCCUGGGCCAGGCCUCUGAGCCCCUGGACUGGCUGUUUCACGUGGCCAUGCCUGCCUGCAACCAUGCCUGCACAAGCCCCACCUUACCAGCAGGUUCAAUGCAGUUCACAGGAGGCCUGCGAGGAGCCCGAGUCUGUGCCUGCUGGUCGCAGGUCCAGGGCCUGUGACAUGGCAGGAGGCCAGGCAGGCAAGCACUGCAGGUAGCCCCUUAGAUUGCCCACCUGUAGGACAGAGAUUGGAGGUCCUCCCUUUUACAGAUGCCCACACAUCUGGAUGUUAUGAAGUUGUAUAUGGUGUGAACACUUUGUACUGUUGCUUGAUUAAAUGUAAGACAAUUCAUCUAACUUCGUGCUGAAUCAGCUUCUAUCCUUGACCUAGAUUCUAGUGGAGAGAAACAAGAACAGGCAGUCAGCGAAUAAGAAAAUCUGAAAGAGAAAGAAUACUCAUGAAGUUAGUAUAUUUCUUUUACUUUGGAGAUAAGGCUGGAAUUUUUUUUCUUCUUAUAAUCCAAACAUUCAAAACCCCUGUGCUCUUGGAGGCAUAAUUUGAGAACCGCCGAGUAAGUGGCCUCAAAAAGUCUUUCUCAGCAAUUCUUGGUAUUAGAGACGCUCUCCGUCUGGCCCUGCCCUCCUCACUGCCCUGCCCCUGCCAGCUCUGUCUCCUCCCUGCCCUGACACGCACCAGGCUCUCCUGAACAUGGGAGUUCCCAUGCCAGCAGGAGUCCCUCCUCCCUGAAAAUGUCCUGGCCACCCAAGCGCCAACCAGAGUCCCCUCCCCACCUCCCGUGACCUGUGGUCACAGCCCAGCCCACCCUAUGCCGGGUCCCUCCUGCCACCUCCUCAAGAUAAGCUGCCCUGCCCCUGCCUUCUGAGCAGGUGAGCAGGACCUCAGGUGUCACAAAGGGAUGCCUUCCAGUGAAAGGAGUCCUUUCUGUGGAAUGCUGGUCCUCCCCACUAAAGCGUGACUUUAGUCCCCAGCUUCCUCAUCACAGAGAGAUGGGGGAUGGGGGUGGGGAUAAUGAUACGCACAGGUGGUUAAGUGUCUACAAAGAGAAUUAUCUAAGAAAAAUACUCCUGCUCCCAUUUUAUGUUCUCUGAUCCCGGUCUUACCCUGCGCUAGACAGAUAAGCAUCGGACACCACGCCUGUCAGGGUUUGUAUCUCUUCAUUUUAACCCCAGUGCCUUGCCCAGUGCAAGCGUUUGGUCUGUGGGAACUCUUACUAGACAGACGCCUCUCAGUGGAGACAGAGCAUCAGAAAGUCAGAGCAGGAGGAACACCAGAGAUCUGCCAGUUGCCUCAUUUUAGGAACAGGCCCAGGAAGAGGAAAGUUCUUGUAUGGGCUGA